Molecule: long non-coding RNA, 6545 nt
Filed under: Equus caballus (horse)
Lineage: Eukaryota; Metazoa; Chordata; Mammalia; Perissodactyla; Equidae
Source: RNAcentral
CUCUUCUCUGUGCGGCCCCUGAGCCUGGAAUGCAAGCCAGAGGCGGUCUCCGCCCCUCCUCCCACUCCAGAGCCCCACUGUACCUCUUUGUUGUUCCACAAAGAUCUGUUUGUUUGAUCUUUCCAUCUCUUCAUUGUUUCAGUCUAAACUGAGAGCCAGGGAUGAAGGCAGAGGAGGAACUGAAACCAAACCUUCAGAGGAAUUUCUGACCGUUAUAUCAGCUAGCACAGACCCCUGGUUUUGCCACUUCUCAGAGAUUCCACAGUGCGGUACCCGCUCUGGUAGUUGCAUGAUGGAUGUGGCCUGAGAGGCUUCCCUGAGGAGGUGAGCUGACUGAGGGAAGGGACAAAGUUCCCAACAACAAAACAAAACGACAGCCCAGGAUGCUCAUGGCCUGGUGGAAGGGCCUUGAAAUCCAAGAACCUGCCCCCCGAGUCGGGAGGAUGAAAGAGAUUUCAACCAACAAGCAAACAGGCUCUUCUCCACACGUUUCAUGGGAUCGAACGCCUGCUCAUAGAGGUGGGUCUACCAGCAGAAGACAACUUAAAGCGUUUGUGAGAAAUGACUUCCUUUUUAAUGCUGGUCCUUUGUGGAAGCCAAUGGUGGAAGCAUCAGUCCAGAGGGCUCUCCUGGAAGCCAGUCCUCCAUCCUAGUCUCUGCUCUUGGCUGUACUGAAACCAUCCUUUUUCUAUGUUCUGUGUUUUCUAGAAGCUCCACAUACUUUACCACAAUGUUCCUUGUCAUGGCAGCACGGAAGAGAUGGAAAAAGGCAAGAGGGGAAUAUGCGAUAGCAGAUGUGAAAAUCAGGUGUUUCUAAGUCACUGAUACCUGUAAAGUAAUUGCAUUUGUGAUACCAGAACAGGUACUUCCAAAUAUGCAUAGAGUUCUCGCCUCAGCAGUGUGGAUACUAAAAUUGGAAAGAUAAAGAGAAGGUUGUCAUGGCCUCUGCACAGGAUGACACACAAAUUCAAGAAGCAUCCCACUUUUUUGUUCUUCAUGCACUGAACUGUACGCGUAAAAAUUGUUAAAACAGCAAACUUUAUGUUAUGUAUAUUUUACCGCAGUUAAAAAUAUGCACAGAAAUGGAUCUAGAAACAUACAUACAAACUGUUCACAUUGGCCAAUUCUUGGGAAGAAGGGUGACUUUCAGGGUUUUUUCCCUUCAAUUUUAAACCUUUUUUUGGAAAUUAUUUUAAACAUAGAAAAGUUGCAUGAGUAAAAGUAUUGCCAAUAAUACCUCUAUACUGUUUACCCAGAUUCAACUACUCUUAACACUUUAUCCAUUUGCUUCAUCAUUCCCUCGUUUUCUCUUUCUCUCUCUGCAAUCUAUGGGGAGACACUUAAAGUCCUUACAAAUAUCUUUCUCCUCAUCAAGAUUUCCUUCUGGAUUCAGCAUCCGUGGAUGAUUUCUGUUGAACUGAUCUUUACUAUGAUGGUUGCAAAAUGGGUAUUUUCCAAUGCUAGCACCCCUCCCCAUAUACCAUUUGGCACUGAGUGUUCUGCUUUAAGCAGGAACCCUCUGUAAUCCCCUCAGUUUUUUAUAUAUUUGUCACAGGCAAGGGCUCAUGAAUACCUAUUUUUUUCAAUGAUUUAUAAUUCACUAAUGUAUUUGAUUAUUUUGCUGAUCAAAUUGUCCCAGAUUUGGCUAGUGGAGUCCCUACAAGCUGGCUACUGUGUCCCUGUGAUGUGUGACCCACCUCUGCCCAUCAUGUUGAGCACUUAAUAUCUGGCAUAAAAAGAUUUUCCAGGCUUUUCUUGUACCUAUCUGCCCUGGCCCUGAAGUCAGCCAUUUCUAUGAAGAGCCUUGGUUCUUUUUAAUGGGGAAAGGCAUUAGAAACCAAGAUGUGGGUGUGAGCUAUGCUCAUUGCUUGUGGGGAGUCUUUGCUUCUUGUAUCUUUCAGUUGAGUGAAUAGAAAAUCAACAGAUAUUUAUAUGUAUACAUAUAUACACUUACAUACAAAUAUACCUAGACAUAUAUGUAUAUGCAUAGAUAAAUCAUAAACAUGUGAACAUAUACGUACUUUAGAAAUCACGAAUUCACAGAAAUAAUUUUAAUUUCCAUCCGUUCCCACAGGGAUUUUUUUCUUGCAUUCUCCUCUAUUCCAUAUUUGCACUUUUUUUUUUUUCAGUGAGGACCUUGGAUUCCUCAAACAAUACAUUCACUUAUUUGCUCAAUUGCAUAAUACAUCGAAAAUAGUUUCAGAAUUGCUUCAUCCUUGUCUCUACGCAAAACAAACCCACUGAAAAGAGUUCAGGAUUGGUUUGUAAUUUCCUCCAUGCCCAUCAGUCCGCCACAAACUGAGGGUAGAUAGUCAAAUGCCGAAUAUUAAUACCUUGCUCAGAUUCGUUCUUUCUGUUUCUAUUUCCCUCCUGUGUGGUUAUACUACCCAUUUGAAAUCUAAUUAAGCUGAUUGGUUUCAAUUUGCUCUCAUUUUACUUUCCACACCCCAUUUUUACUAACUUAAUUGAUUUUUGAGUAUAUAGAAGGUUAUCAUAUUUUCCAAAGAAAAGCUGAACAGAAAGGUAUAUUUGUGCCACUCCUUCCCAAAUCUCGCCUACCACAGUCUCCUUAUAGGUCACCAGCUUCAUGGUUUAUCCUUCUUGUGUUUCUUUUUGUACAGGUAAACAGUCACAGAUUUUCUUAUUUUUCCUGCUACUAUAUAUGCUUUUUUAAAAAACAGCUUUAUUGAGCAUAAUUUACGUGGUAUAAAAUUCACCCAUUUUAAGUGGGCAGCUAGACAAGUUUUAGUGAAUUUAUACAUUUGUGCAACCAUCACCACAAUCCUGUUUUAGAACACCACCAUCCUCCCAGGAGCUGCCCUCACGCCCAUUUGCAGACAACCCCCACUCCCAUCUCAGCCCCAAGCCACCACCCAUCUGUGUUCUGUUUCUAUUGUUUUAUUCUUUCUAUAAAUUUCAUAUCAAUGGAGUUACACAGUAUGUGGUCUUAUGUGUCUGGUUUCUUACUAGCCUCAUGCUUUUGAGGUUCAUUUGUGUUGUUGAUGGUGUCCACAGUACUCACCUUUUCGUUGGUGCGUUGUAUGGAUGUACCACAAUUCGUUUCUCGAUUGACCAGAUGAUGGAUGUUGGGAGUGUUUCCAGCUUUUUGUUUAUUGUGAAUAAUGCUGCUAUGAACAUCGGUGUGCAGGUUUUUGACAGACACGUGUUUUCAUUUCUCUUGGGUAGUUACCUUGGAGUGAAAUUGCUGUGUCAUAUGGUAAGUGUAUGUUUAACUUAUGAAACUGGCAAAUGGUUUUCCAAAGUGCCUGUAUCAUUUUACGUUCCCAUCAGCGAUGUAUUUAUAUUAAUUGUAAGCAAAUGUAUUCUCCUAAAGUUGCUGAAAGUUCUUAUCUAAGCUAGGCCAGUUAUUUAUUGUCCUUGUAAUCUUGCUCAUUUUUUACUUACUCAGCCCUUUUCUUCAUGGGUAGUUCAAAGGAAAAUCAGAUUAUUCCUUGCUGAAUUAUAAGGAAUUCAGAAUGAAUGUGACCAAAAAUAAAGACCCAGAAAGGUAUUUUCUCUCUCUUUAUAGGGAAUGGAAAGAUAUAGAUGACGUUAUUAAGAGAAGGACUUUCUAGCUUCAGUCUUUAAAAAUAAAGAUCAGUUGCAUCAGAAACCUGAGUUUACAUUCUUUCCGAUGGUAGGGCAGGGAAUGAGGUUAGUUUAUGGAAGGAAGUACUCCCCCCCCCCAUUUUUUUUCUGGUGAGGAAGAUUGGCCCUGAGCUAAUAUCUGUGCCAAUCUUCCUCUAUGUUGUAUAUGGGACACCACCACAGCAUGGCUUGAUGAGUGGUGUGUAGGUUCACACCCAGGAUCUGAACCUGCAAACCCCAGGCCACUUAACCACUACUCCACUGGACUGGCACCAGGAAGUACCUCUUUUAAUUGAUGGAUACUUGGGAAAUUGACUAAAGUUAGGGUAUGGUCAUUAACUUCAAAUUUUGAGACAUCAGAAAAGAAUUCAGAAAUCUAAAGAUUCUAAAAAGGAGAAAACUUGAUAUAGUUCCCAAGUUGUUAUUUUUAAAUAUUUUGAAAGGAGAGCUGUGAUGGUUGCAAAGAGGCAGUCCUAGAAAUGAGAGCGGCAGCUGUUCAGUUGGGCACUUCCACUGAACGUAGGAUAAAUGCCAGAUCUUCUUGCUACACCCUAAAUACACCUGGACAAAACCACAGCUCCUGGAGAACCAAAGCACACUUCAUGGCAGCCCUCGUCUAGGGUCAUCCACAGACCACACUGGGGAUGCUGCCAGCUUCAAGUUACACCCCAAGAAAAUCAGUAUCAGUUGACAGACUAGCCAGCUCAUUGCUAAAUUAACUUCAGCUAAAUUUUUAAAUAACCAAAGGUUGUCUUUAAAAAAAUCUCUCCACAUCUCUUCUCAAAGGUUUUCUCCCUGCUUCUGAUAUUCAUCUUUUUUGCCCCAUCCCAAGCGCCUGGCACAUAUAUCAUUUUGUUGAGCCUGAAUUUAGCCAAAACAGAUAUUAACCAGUAAAACUCUUGUUCAUAAAAGGUUCAUUUGAAAUUGUUAAACAUGCAUCCCGUGCUCCCUGGAAGUGAGGGACUAUUUGGGCAGUAAAGGGGUUUUCCUGGCACCCAUCGAAAUGCAUCCUAUAGGUGAGGGGUUGCUGUUUCACAGGCCCUACCCUUAUGAGGUACAUUUGUACAUGAACUACUGGUUCCAGUGUUUUUAAUUUUUAAUUUUUUUCUUUUGAGGAAGAUUAGCCCUGUGCUAACAUCUGCUGACAAUCCUCCUCUUUUUUGCUGAGGAAGACUGGCCCUGAGCUACCAUCCAUGCCCAUCUUCCUCUACUUUAUAUGUGGGAUGCCUGCCACAGCAUGGCUUGAUAAGGAGUGCAUAGACCCGCACCUGGGAUCCGAACCAGUGAACCCCGGGCCACCGAAGUGGAAUGUAUGAACCUAACUACUGUGCCACUGGGCUGGCUCCUUAAGUUUUUAAUUUUUAAGAAAGAGGAAAAUCCUCCUUGGGAGCUUAGAUUCUGUUGGGAUAAACUGAGUAAAAAUGUUUUAUAUGCCAGGAAAACAUCUGUCUAUCCAGGGAACUGUAGCUUGACAGAGGUGCGGUUAAGUGCUAAGUAAGAAAGGAGGAAAAAUGAAUACGACAGUACACAGCCAGAAAGACUGGUCGGUAAAUGUAGUUGGCAAAAUGUGCCUAGUUAUUUUGUAGCUCCUAUUUUUAAUUAGCAUUCUGUGUAGUUUUCUUAUUUUCAGAAAUUCCCUCUCUCUAGAACACACGCACAUGCACACACGCACGUAUGAGCAUGGAUUCUUGUUGUUGUUUUCCUUUUCAAAGUUCAUAGCUGCAUCAUUGCACAGAUGGAGGAUAUUGGAGAAAUGCUAUAUGGGAAACAUAAAGAUGUUAGUACUUCUGGUUUGGUUGGGUGGUGGGUUGAUUUCAGGAAGGGUCCCAAGGUGUUCACGUCUAACCCGUGUUCACGCUGGGCUUGGCCAUAUGACUUGUUCUGACCAGUGAGUGAGUAGCCAACACAACGCAGCAGACAGUGGGAAUGCUGUUAAUGCCACUGGGAUGCUGCUAACCCCCAUCUUUUCCUCUUUGUUCUUUCUUUUAUAUAUUUAUACAAAAUCACAGUUUUUACGUUUGUGACAGACAAAUAAAAUUGAUUUGUGUUCAUAACUUAGCAGUUGCCUUACUAUAGACAUUGACCAUUCCGUGGCAUUCUAGUAGUAAGAGAACUUUAUUUUUCUCUUGGAAAUCAGGCAAUGGCAUUCGACUCUCCCCUCCGUCCAGUGCUACACCGAUGUCUACGAAGAGGAUGGCAUGUGGGCUCCUGGAACGUUCUACCAGGGAAGCAGAGCAAAGUGGCGAGGGGGGCUGCGGGAUGGAGGACGCAGGCUCAGCCAGAAUCACGUCGUGUUUUCAUUGAGGGCUUUCUACCACUUUUUGAUGGUCGAUCCCCAGGUUUCUGGGGCAUGCUGAUUGGAUGGUGUAUGGAAACCAGCUUAGAGCAACACUCUUGUUUCCUCUGACUCACUCUUCUCUCUUUCCAACUCCUAUUGGAUACUUCUGCCUAAAAUGAGCCCAAUCUCUAAAUACCAAAUACUCAGCUGUUCUAUUUUGUAAUAUUUCAUUCUUCGAGGCCAGGGUGAGAGAACGCUGGCCCUCGAGUUCUCCCUCGGGUACCUGCUCUGAGCGCAAAGUCCACUCAGAUAAUUUCUUCAUUUAUGCUCUAGUUGUGAAAACGUUUCAUUGUUUAAUGGCAACAUGUUAAAAAGCCAUUGUUUUGCUGUUACUCUUUAAAGCUUAUGCUCCUGGCUCGUCUGAACUUUUCUCUCUUGCUUUACCUGUGUUUCUGUGUUUUUUUCCUAUUUCACUCUCCAUCUGGUCUUCCUUCUUAAUUUUUUCUUUUUCUAUUUUUUGUCUUUUCUCUCUGUGUAUUUAAUUAGUCCACAGUAUAGAACCACUGUAUACAUUUUUAUUAUUUCUUGUUUUUAUAGAAUAGAAUGUUAUAUUCUCUUAAUUUAAAUACCACGUAAACAGUGUAUGUUCUUUUUCAAAUAAAACAUAACAUGAGCUUUA